GGGUUGUGAGGUUAAGCGACUAAGCGUACACGGUGGAUGCCCUGGCAGUCAGAGGCGAUGAAGGACGUGCUAAUCUGCGAAAAGCGUCGGUAAGGUGAUAUGAACCGUUACAGCCGGCGAUGUCCGAAUGGGGAAACCCAGUGCAAUUCGUUGCACUAUCGUUAACUGAAUACAUAGGUUAACGAGGCGAACCGGGGGAACUGAAACAUCUAAGUACCCGAGGAAAAGAAAUCAACCGAGAUUCCCCCAGUAGCGGCGAGCGAACGGGGAGCAGCCCAGAGUCUGAAUCAGCUUGUGUGUUAGUGGAACGGUCUGGAAAGUCCGACGGUACAGGGUGAUAGUCCCGUACACCAAAAUGCACAGGUUGUGAACUCGAAGAGUAGGGCGGGACACGUGGUAUCCUGUCUGAAUAUGGGGGACCAUCCUCCAAGGCUAAAUACUCCUGACUGACCGAUAGUGAACCAGUACCGUGAGGGAAAGGCGAAAAGAACCCCGGCGAGGGGAGUGAAAAAGAACCUGAAACCGUGUACGUACAAGCAGUGGGAGCACCUUCGGGUGUGACUGCGUACCUUUUGUAUAAUGGGUCAGCGACUUAUAUUCUGUAGCAAGGUUAACCGUAUAGGGGAGCCGCAGGGAAACCGAGUCUUAACUGGGCGUUAAGUUGCAGGGUAUAGACCCGAAACCCGGUGAUCUAGCCAUGGGCAGGUUGAAGGUUGGGUAACACUAACUGGAGGACCGAACCGACUAAUGUUGAAAAAUUAGCGGAUGACUUGUGGCUGGGGGUGAAAGGCCAAUCAAACCGGGAGAUAGCUGGUUCUCCCCGAAAGCUAUUUAGGUAGCGCCUCGUGAACUCAUCUUCGGGGUAGAGCACUGUUUCGGCUAGGGGGUCAUCCCGACUUACCAACCCGAUGCAAACUACGAAUACCGAAGAAUGUUAUCACGGGAGACACACGGCGGGUGCUAACGUCCGUCGUGAAGAGGGAAACAACCCAGACCGCCAGCUAAGGUCCCAAAGUCAUGGUUAAGUGGGAAACGAUGUGGGAAGGCACAGACAGCCAGGAUGUUGGCUUAGAAGCAGCCAUCAUUUAAAGAAAGCGUAAUAGCUCACUGGUCGAGUCGGCCUGCGCGGAAGAUGUAACGGGGCUAAACCAUGCACCGAAGCUGCGGCAGCGACACUAUGUGUUGUUGGGUAGGGGAGCGUUCUGUAAGCCUGCGAAGGUGUGCUGUGAGGCAUGCUGGAGGUAUCAGAAGUGCGAAUGCUGACAUAAGUAACGAUAAAGCGGGUGAAAAGCCCGCUCGCCGGAAGACCAAGGGUUCCUGUCCAACGUUAAUCGGGGCAGGGUGAGUCGACCCCUAAGGCGAGGCCGAAAGGCGUAGUCGAUGGGAAACAGGUUAAUAUUCCUGUACUUGGUGUUACUGCGAAGGGGGGACGGAGAAGGCUAUGUUAGCCGGGCGACGGUUGUCCCGGUUUAAGCAUGUAGGCUGGUUAUCCAGGCAAAUCCGGAUAAUCAAGGCUGAGGUGUGAUGACGAGGCACUACGGUGCUGAAGUAACAAAUGCCCUGCUUCCAGGAAAAGCCUCUAAGCAUCAGGUAACAUCAAAUCGUACCCCAAACCGACACAGGUGGUCAGGUAGAGAAUACCAAGGCGCUUGAGAGAACUCGGGUGAAGGAACUAGGCAAAAUGGUGCCGUAACUUCGGGAGAAGGCACGCUGGUGUGUAGGUGAAGUCCCUGCGGAUGGAGCUGAGACCAGUCGAAGAUACCAGCUGGCUGCAACUGUUUAUUAAAAACACAGCACUGUGCAAACACGAAAGUGGACGUAUACGGUGUGACGCCUGCCCGGUGCCGGAAGGUUAAUUGAUGGGGUUAUCCGUAAGGAGAAGCUCUUGAUCGAAGCCCCGGUAAACGGCGGCCGUAACUAUAACGGUCCUAAGGUAGCGAAAUUCCUUGUCGGGUAAGUUCCGACCUGCACGAAUGGCGUAAUGAUGGCCAGGCUGUCUCCACCCGAGACUCAGUGAAAUUGAACUCGCUGUGAAGAUGCAGUGUACCCGCGGCAAGACGGAAAGACCCCGUGAACCUUUACUAUAGCUUGACACUGAACAUUGAGCCUUGAUGUGUAGGAUAGGUGGGAGGCUUUGAAGCGUGGACGCCAGUCUGCGUGGAGCCAACCUUGAAAUACCACCCUUUAAUGUUUGAUGUUCUAACGUUGGCCCCUGACCGGGGUUGCGGACAGUGUCUGGUGGGUAGUUUGACUGGGGCGGUCUCCUCCCAAAGCGUAACGGAGGAGCACGAAGGUUAGCUAAUCCUGGUCGGACAUCAGGAGGUUAGUGCAAUGGCAUAAGCUAGCUUGACUGCGAGCGUGACGGCGCGAGCAGGUGCGAAAGCAGGUCAUAGUGAUCCGGUGGUUCUGAAUGGAAGGGCCAUCGCUCAACGGAUAAAAGGUACUCCGGGGAUAACAGGCUGAUACCGCCCAAGAGUUCAUAUCGACGGCGGUGUUUGGCACCUCGAUGUCGGCUCAUCACAUCCUGGGGCUGAAGUAGGUCCCAAGGGUAUGGCUGUUCGCCAUUUAAAGUGGUACGCGAGCUGGGUUUAGAACGUCGUGAGACAGUUCGGUCCCUAUCUGCCGUGGGCGCUGGAGAAUUGAGGGGGCUGCUCCUAGUACGAGAGGACCGGAGUGGACGCAUCACUGGUGUUCGGGUUGUCAUGCCAAUGGCACUGCCCGGUAGCUAAAUGCGGAAGAGAUAAGUGCUGAAAGCAUCUAAGCACGAAACUUGCCCCGAGAUGAGUUCUCCCUGAGACUAUAAGUCUCCUGAAGGAACGUUAAAGACGAUGACGUUGAUAGGCCGGGUGUGUAAGCGCAGCGAUGCGUUGAGCUAACCGGUACUAAUGAACCGUGAGGCUUAACCUUACAACGCCGAAG
This 2919-nucleotide ribosomal RNA is filed under the name Klebsiella pneumoniae. RNAcentral describes it as "bacterial LSU rRNA". It matches the Rfam family "Bacterial large subunit ribosomal RNA". Lineage: Bacteria; Pseudomonadati; Pseudomonadota; Gammaproteobacteria; Enterobacterales; Enterobacteriaceae. The record is from RNAcentral.